GUUUUGCAUCUUAGUCCAUGUCCUUUUACUGAUCCUGUGACAGGCAUACCUACUUGGCAUGAUAGACUGCAAUCUCCUCUUGUGAUGUAUGGUUUUAGUAAAGAAGUGGUUGAAUGUCCUGGUAUGUUUGUUCUUCU
Vigna radiata var. radiata (mung bean) is the source of this 137-nucleotide long non-coding RNA. RefSeq lists it as uncharacterized. The record is from RefSeq and is a predicted model, not a curated record. The transcript is spliced from 3 exons. Lineage: Eukaryota; Viridiplantae; Streptophyta; Magnoliopsida; Fabales; Fabaceae.